Molecule: ribosomal RNA, 554 nt
Filed under: uncultured bacterium
Lineage: Bacteria
Description: bacterial SSU rRNA
Rfam family: Bacterial small subunit ribosomal RNA
Source: RNAcentral
GGCGAACGGGUGAGUAACGCGUAGGUGAUCUACCUCCAGGCGGGGGACAACCUAGGGAAACUUGGGCUAAUACCGCAUGUGGCUGUAAAGCUAAAGCCGGCCUCUAUUUAUAAGCUGGUGCCUGGAGAUGAGCCUGCGUCUGAUUAGCUAGUUGGUGGGGUAACGGCCUACCGAGGCGAUGAUAAGUAGGCGGCUUUAACGAGUGGUCGCCCACACUGGGAUUGAGAUACGGCCCAGACUCCUACGGGAGGCAGCAGUCGAGGAUAGUCUACAAUGGUCGAAAGAUUGAUAGUGCGACGCCGCGUGAACGAGGAAGCAUUUCGGUGUGUAAAGUUCUUUUCUAUGGGAGCAGUGGAUUUAAUGUGAAUAAUGUUAAGUCAGAGAUAUUACUAUAGGAAUAAGCCACGGCUAACUCCGUGCCAGCAGCCGCGGUAAUACGGGGGUGGCGAGCGUUGUCCGGAAUUACUAGGCGUAAAGGGCAGGCAGGCGGAUAUGUAAGUUAAUCGUUAAAGACCCGUGCUUACCAUGGGGAGGGCGGUUGAUACUGCGUAUCU